UACAGAGGUCUCGAGCGUUAGGCGGAAUCACUGGGCUUAAAGCGUGUGUAGGCGGAUCGGUAAGUACCUUGUGAAAUCCCACAGCUUAACUGUGGAACUGCUUGGUAUACUGCCAGUCUUGAGCCAGCUAGGGGCUACCGGAACAGACGGUGGAGCGGUGAAAUGCGUAGAUAUCGUCUGGAACGCCAAUGGUGAAAACAGGUAGCUGGGGCUGUGCUGACGCUGAGACACGAAAGCCAGGGGAGCAAACG
Molecule: ribosomal RNA, 251 nt
Filed under: uncultured prokaryote
Description: partial 16S ribosomal RNA
Rfam family: Bacterial small subunit ribosomal RNA
Source: RNAcentral